CCGACAGCAUGCAGUUCCCGGGCUCCUGUGCACAGCAGCUCCAGAGAGGCUUCUCCCUUGCACAAGCACACAAGAAUCAGGGCUGUUUCAGAGGGUUGCGGAAGUCAUUAUGGGUGUGUGGCUUGUUUUAAAACCCGGCCUUCGACGGGCCUGGCCGUGGAGUCCUCGCCCAGGCCAGGCCAGGCCAGGCCAGGCGGCCAUAAAUCUCUGCAGGCCUCCUGGGCCUAGACCAGAGAUGCCGGAGCUGGGCCUGGCGGUGGCUCUGCACCGCGUGGCCCGUGACUGCACGCUGGCACAGGGUGGCAGGGAGCCCUCAGACUUAGCACGUGUGAUGUCCAAACCCUAAUCCCGGGGCUUCCAGGGAGAAGAAAACAGAGUGGGAGCUGUUUCUGGUGUCUCCCGGUCGAAAUGAAAGCAUGGCAUUGUGACUCAAUAAUGCGGCUCUUCCUCUUCUGUUUAUUUUCAGAAGUUUAUGCAAAGAAAUGUUUCGAGCAUGAAUGAGCACGCUGAACUUUUUGCCUCUCUCCACUGGCGUGCCAGCGAAUAAAACAGCCAUUCACACCUGAGCACCGAGCAGCCAAAUGGGGCCGGUGCCAGGCAAAAUCGGAUUCUUUGUAGCCACGGCCAUUCAUCCAAAGUGUGCUCUCAGAGUGCCAAAUUUCUAGCCAAUAUUUUCCCUUCACCGAAGCCCCAGUGUACUAAAACAGGUCCUGAACCAGAGAGCCUCUCACACACACAGCCAACCCCCAGCGAAGGGCUCCGGGAUCCCAGGCCUGUUGGCUGAUAAUUAUAUUCACAUCUUGAAGAAACCCGAGAAGGAGAAAUUAACACCAAACUAUACUGUUUUCAUUGCGUUAUGCAGAUGAAAUGACAAGUUGUCGUUUAAGAAGUUAAUAAACAGUCUCCGUUUUGCAGGUUAUCCAAAUGCUACUGAAUAGAAAACCUUGGAUCCCUAAAUGAUGUGUAAUUAAAAUUAUUUUUAAAAUCCUCCUUGACAGGCCGGGGCUUAGCCAAAAUGUAAAUGACAUUAAAGAAGACAAUGAAUUUAAUUUUAUUUAAUGUCCCUUUUUGCAGAUCCUCAUUUACAUAGCAUUUUUAACAAAAGCGUUGACCUUAUAAACGCUGGCAUUUGUACAGCUCCCUCGGAGUUGGAUUUAAUCACGCUCCGGCAAAGCCAUGAGGGAGGAAGCCUUAAGUUCUCUGCUUGGAGAUGGAGCAGGAAUAAAAACAUUGGGACUGGUCAAAUGUUUAUCCUCCCCGCUUCUGAAAACAACCUGACAAGAAGAUGUAAGGGGCUAGGGAAUAACCCGGUGCUGUUUGUAAGGCUUGGUAAUAAUCACACAUAAUCGUUUGGAAAUAUAGCUAAUAAAAAUAUAAUGAGUGUUCAGCAAAAUCGGCAUUAGGCCCAAAUUACAUGAUAUUAAUACUUGAACAGGUGCAGAAAGGCGCUUUAAAUGAGGUAAAUGAAUAAAAUGUCCCAGAGCACAACUGUGUGUGCUGACAAAAAGUCAAUGCCAUGAAUAAUUCAGCGAGGAGGAUUGCCAGCAAAGGUCGGCUCUCUUUGACCUUUGUGACAGGAAGUGAAAGGAAACACUGUUGACUAAAAAAAAAAAAAGAAAGAAAGAAAGAAAAAGAGAAAGAACGAAGGAACACCUCCGCUCGGGCUCCGGCUCCCCUUCUGCCAUCACUUGAAAGGUGUAAACUUAAAACUCUUAAAUGAGCCAAAGGAGGCUCCGGAGGGGCUGGCAGCCUAAACCUGUGGAAGGUAGCGCAUCGAACUAAAGGCGAUGGGAAAUCGCAGACAAUGAAAGGUUAAGUCAAUAAUAUCUUCCUACAACCCAGUGUCAAUUAUGUAUAAAAAAAUCUGAGGUCAGCUGAAAAGUAUUUUCAGAGCCCACAGGGUUGAAAUUUUGUAACAGCUGUUAAAUAUGACAAAACUACCCCCCCCCCAAACUAAAGCUAUUCCAAACUCUGUAUGAAAGAAAAUGGGAUAAACAGAUGUCUGGCUUCCAGACAGGAAAGUAGGACAGACUUGGAAUGAUAAGUCUCCCAAACUCUGAGCCCAGUGCCAGAUUUACGGGGGAAGGGGCACUGCCUGCCACAGAGAUGCCAGCGAGCAGGGCGCCCGAGACGGUGCCAUCUGGACCCGCCCCGCCGAGCGUGCCCCCGCGCUGCCCCGGAGCACGCAGUGUGCGACCCGGCCCCUCUGGGCGGUCACGUCACCCGGCUCCCGCCACCUCCAGUCUGCAACAGUUGGACCCUGCAGCUCUGGUCCGGGGAGGCCCAGCACGGAAGGGGAGGAUGCAACGUUGCCCAAGGAAGAUGAUAAGCAGCAAGAUGAAGAGCAGCAAAUGUAAAGAAUGCAUACAGCUAAUCUAGUUAUGGAAAUUAAUGUUGGAAAAUGUAACCAGCAUGUGUAAUUAGUUUCAAUUAUAACAAC
Sus scrofa (pig) is the source of this 2440-nucleotide non-coding RNA. The record is from RefSeq and is a predicted model, not a curated record. Lineage: Eukaryota; Metazoa; Chordata; Mammalia; Artiodactyla; Suidae.